This 23-nucleotide small nuclear RNA is filed under the name Arabidopsis thaliana (thale cress). RNAcentral's name for it is "snRNA_07675". Lineage: Eukaryota; Viridiplantae; Streptophyta; Magnoliopsida; Brassicales; Brassicaceae. The record is from RNAcentral.
AAAAGAAUGUGAGAAAAUAUGAG